RNAcentral lists this long non-coding RNA (251 nucleotides) under Vigna radiata. Its description in RNAcentral is "long non-coding RNA (VRAD_LNC000541)". Lineage: Eukaryota; Viridiplantae; Streptophyta; Magnoliopsida; Fabales; Fabaceae. The record is from RNAcentral.
GGUGGAUAAACAAGUUGAUUCAUUGGCUAACUUAAUUACAAUUUUUUUAAAUAAAAAAAUUACAAACAUUCUAUAAUUCAAAUAUAAACAAAUUUUACUCCUGUUUAAUUAAUUUUGAAAAUAGGGAACUUAAAUUUUUUUUUUCAAGCAAAAAAUAGUAAUAAAUAUCUUUUUAUGAAAUUAAAAUUAAAUUUUAAUAAAAUAAAAUUAGGUGGUGGGUUGGUGGGUCAACCCGGCCCAUCACUGGUUCA